AUCUACUACUACCAAAUAAUAACUAACAGAUUUCUGCAGGGAAUUUAUCCAGACAUCUGAUUGGUUGUAAAUGUUUUCUCCGUUGAGAAAGGUGUUGGGGGUUGUCAUAACCUACCACAUACUGCAUUAUAUUUAUCUUUUCAGGAUAGCAGACGUAACCUUGAAGAGCUCCAUGUGUCUGAUUCCAAGAAUAAUACAUGACAUUCCUCACACUGAAAGAUGGGACACAGCAGUGCUUCACGUUCCUGUCUUCACUGUUCCAUCACACCUGAUUCAGCUCAUGAUGCGCUCGAUAAUUACCGAAGUUUUGUCGUAUGUGUCAACGGGUAAAAUGAUUGACUCUGUAGCUUUCCCGGAAUAGAAACAGGUAUGAAUACUGCUACAAUACAUGUACAAUGUAUACAAUAAUAUUCUAAGUAUGCUUUAUUUAUUUAUUUAUUUUAUUUUACCUGCAACCACGGUCAUCUGAUGGAUAGAGUGAUAGAUGGUCCAAAUCAACCGAUUUCAGACUCCAUAUUCCCCACCCGUGUGAGACCUGUUAUAUAAUAAAUAAGUGUAUGAGCAGAUUUUAAAAGGAAUACUGGCAUGUUCCCUUGGCAUUGCUUGAGUAGCAGCACAUGGACGGGGAUUUGGGUUUGGGACAAGUUCACACCGCGGCAGGGGAACCGUAGUGAUCCGACUGGGUCGGUAAUGAUAUCAGAUGCCUCUCCUCAAAACAACAGGUGUCUUGGCAGAACUGUCCUUCACUUCCACGCUGGGCUCAUGACAUCAGCAGCCAGCACUGGUUAAUUAUAGACCAGCAGAGCUCGACCUCUACAAUACACACUGCAGCUCCUCUAGAAUCGCUUCUUGUGAAGAACCAAAAGCGGCCGAUCAUCAAGAUCAACAUACCGGAAUCAGACUGUAGUGCUCGGGCUCUCAUCACGGUGCCCACUGAGCGGUGAGGGACCUGGGCAGAGAGCGGGAGUGCCAACCGUACAGCUGCGGUGAGGGAUGCUCUGUGUUCUACUGCCCUCCGAUGGUGGCUUUGACAGACUCUUAGACGAAAUGCACAGAGAGAAAGUGUGUGUGUGUGUGUGUGUGUGUGUGUGUGUGUGUGUGUGGUGGGGGGGGGGGGGGGGGGGUGAAUGAGUGAAUGAAC
Long non-coding RNA from Ictalurus punctatus (channel catfish), 1141 nucleotides. RefSeq lists it as uncharacterized. Lineage: Eukaryota; Metazoa; Chordata; Actinopteri; Siluriformes; Ictaluridae. The record is from RefSeq and is a predicted model, not a curated record. The transcript is spliced from 3 exons.